GAUGAACGCUGGCGGCGUGCCUAAUACAUGCAAGUCGAGCGAAAGGAUUAAGAGCUUGCUCUUAUGAGGUUAGCGGCGGACGGGUGAGUAACACGUGGGUAACCUGCCCAUAAGACUGGGAUAACUCCGGGAAACCGGGGCUAAUACCGGAUAACAUUUUGAACCGCAUGGUUCGAAAUUGAAAGGCGGCUUCGGCUGUCACUUAUGGAUGGACCCGCGUCGCAUUAGCUAGUUGGUGAGGUAACGGCUCACCAAGGCAACGAUGCGUAGCCGACCUGAGAGGGUGAUCGGCCACACUGGGACUGAGACACGGCCCAGACUCCUACGGGAGGCAGCAGUAGGGAAUCUUCCGCAAUGGACGAAAGUCUGACGGGGCAACGCCGCGUGAGUGAUGAAGGCUUUCGGGUCGUAAAACUCUGUUGUUAGGGAAGAACAAGUGCUAGUUGAAUAAGCUGGCACCUUGACGGUACCUAACCAGAAAGCCACGGCUAACUACGUGCCAGCCGCCGCGGUAA
RNAcentral lists this ribosomal RNA (515 nucleotides) under uncultured bacterium. RNAcentral describes it as "partial 16S ribosomal RNA". It matches the Rfam family "Bacterial small subunit ribosomal RNA", at positions 28 to 523 of the family's 1533-position model. The record is from RNAcentral.